UCCAGGCCCUACGGGGCGCAGCAGGCGCGAAACCUCCGCAAUGCUCGAAAGAGCGACGGGGGGACCCCCAGUGCCGUGGCAACGCCACGGCUUUUCCGGAGUGUAAAGAGCUCCGGGAAUAAGGGCUGGGCAAGGCCGGUGGCAGCCGCCGCGGUAAUACCGGCGGCCCGAGUGGUGGCCGCUAUUAUUGGGCCUAAAGCGUCCGUAGCCGGGCUUGUGAGUCCCUGGCGAAAUCCCACGGCUCAACCGUGGGGCUUGCUGGGGAUACUGCAAGCCUUGGGACCGGGAGAGGCGGAGGGUACUCCUGGGGUAGGGGUGAAAUCCUAUAAUCCCAGGAGGACCGCCAGUGGCGAAGGCGCUCCGCUGGAACGGGUCCGACGGUGAGGGACGAAGGCCAGGGGAGCGAACCGGAUUAGAUACCCGGGUAGUCCUGGCUGUAAAGGACGCGGGCUAGGUGUCGGGCGAGCUUCGUGCUCGUCCGGUGCCGAAGGGAAGCCGUUAAGCCCGCCGCCUGGGGAGUACGGCCGCAAGGCUGCAACUUAAAGGAAUUGGCGGGGGAGCACUACAAGGGGUGGAGCGUGCGGUUUAAUUGGAUUCAACGCCGGGAACCUCACCGGGGGCGACGGCAGGAUGAAGGCCAGGCUGAAGGUCUUGCCGGACACGCCGAGAGGAGGUGCAUGGCCGCCGUCAGCUCGUACCGUGAGGCGUCCACUUAAGUGUGGUAACGAGCGAGACCCGCGCCCCCAGUUGCCAGUCCUUCCCGCUUGGGGAGGAGGCACUCUGGGGGGACCGCCGGCGAUAAGCCGGAGGAAGGAGCGGGCGACGGUAGGUCAGUAUGCCCCGAAACCCCCGGGCUACACGCGCGCUACAAUGAGCGGGACAAUGGGAACCGACCCCGGAAGGGGAAGGGAAUCCCCUAAACCUGCUCCCAGUUCGGAUCGCGGGCUGCAACUCGCCCGCGUGAAGCUGGAAUCCCUAGUACCCGCGUGUCAUCAUCGCGCGGCGAAUACGUCCCUGCUCCUUGCACACACCGCCCGUC
RNAcentral lists this ribosomal RNA (1039 nucleotides) under uncultured archaeon. RNAcentral's name for it is "bacterial SSU rRNA". It matches the Rfam family "Archaeal small subunit ribosomal RNA", at positions 315 to 1354 of the family's 1478-position model. The record is from RNAcentral.